UUCUUACUUUUUAUUCUUUCCCGACAUAAAUAAUUAAGUGGCACAAUUAUCCAUGCGAAAUUUCUGUCUGUCAGUUUCAAGAGUCUGAUUUAGCAUUUCGCGGAUUAUUACUUUUUAAAGGUUACGUUUGGAUUUUAUUCUAAAAACGUACAUAAAGAGGGACAUUUAAAUGUAUCUCACAUGUGUGAUAACGUUAGUUUGUUCGAUAAGCAUCAAUUAAAGAGAUAGAAAAGUUGUGUUUCAUAAUGAUUUGGACGGAAACAAUUGUUUUUACUAUAUCAACUAAACUUCGUAAUUUAUUUAAUUGUAAAAUACAUGUUUUAAAUUGCUGGGAAAAAAAAAACAGGCAAUAUAUACGGAACCUAAAGCACGUGGUACUGGAAGGACCCUCUUAUAUAAACAGUGGGCACGCGCUUCUACACUCUGUUUGACGUCGGACUUCGUUGUGGUGAGUGAGCAGUCUCUGAGUAAUGACUGUCCACAUGAACAAACACCACACCCAGGAGGGCAAGGUUAAAGAUGGGUGAUUUAGACACAGGCUCUCUGCAGAGAUGCAGCUACUUCAGGCUCCUUGGAGCAGUGAAUGCUUAGUCAUGUAGUACAGUGUAAGCUGUAUGCCCAAGAAGACUGGCCUUGAGUUGAUGGGUGUUUACACUGGAAUGAGACUCAGAUUGUUCCAGCAGCUCCAUAACAUGAAAACUAGAGCCAGACUCCUCAGUCCCCAGCUGUAAAAGCUGUUUUGCUGCAUCUGAGCUGGAUGACAUCAGAACACAUGUUGGCCAGGUGAUGCAGUUUGAGUUGGGCCUGUUGGAAGCUUUAUUGGAGAUUCUACUAUCAAGUUAUUCAUUUGACUUUCGUCUCGGAUCAGACACUGCUUUUACUGCAUAACAUGCUGUUGUUUUUUUUAGUUUUUUUCAUUGAAAAUAAAUGGUUCUAACUUAAAAGAU
Sphaeramia orbicularis (orbiculate cardinalfish) is the source of this 947-nucleotide long non-coding RNA. RefSeq lists it as uncharacterized. The record is from RefSeq and is a predicted model, not a curated record. The transcript is spliced from 7 exons. Lineage: Eukaryota; Metazoa; Chordata; Actinopteri; Kurtiformes; Apogonidae.